GACGAACGCUGGCGGCGUGCUUAACACAUGCAAGUCGAACGGUAAGGCUCUUCGGGGUACACGAGUGGCGAACGGGUGAGUAACACGUGGGUGAUCUGCCCUGCACUUCGGGAUAAGCCUGGGAAACUGGGGCUAAUACCGGAUAGGACCACUGCGUGCAUGGGUGGUGGUGGAAAGCUUUUGCGGUGUGGGAUGGGCCCGCGGCCUAUCAGCUUGUUGGGGGGGUGAUGGCCUAGCAAGGCGACGACGGGUAGCCGGCCUGAGAGGGUGACCGGCCACACUGGGACUGAGAUACGGCCCAGACUCCUACGGGAGGCAGCAGUGGGGAAUAUUGCACAGUGGGCGCAAGCCUGAUGCAGCGACGCCGCGUGAGGGAUGACGGCCUUCGGGUUGUAAACCUCUUUCAGCACCGACGAAGCGAAAGUGACGGUAGGUGCAGAAGAAGGACCGGCCAACUACGUGCCAGCCGCCGCGGUAA
RNAcentral lists this ribosomal RNA (478 nucleotides) under uncultured bacterium. RNAcentral describes it as "partial 16S ribosomal RNA". It matches the Rfam family "Bacterial small subunit ribosomal RNA", at positions 28 to 523 of the family's 1533-position model. The record is from RNAcentral.